This 460-nucleotide ribosomal RNA is filed under the name uncultured bacterium. RNAcentral describes it as "partial 16S ribosomal RNA". It matches the Rfam family "Bacterial small subunit ribosomal RNA", at positions 338 to 795 of the family's 1533-position model. The record is from RNAcentral.
CCUACGGGUGGCAGCAGUGAGGAAUAUUGGUCAAUGGGCGCGAGCCUGAACCAGCAAAGUAGCGUGAAGGAUGACUGCCCUACGGGUUGUAAACUUCUUUUAUAAAGGAAUAAAGUGAGGCACGUGUGCCUUUUUGUAUGUACUUUAUGAAUAAGGAUCGGCUAACUCAGUGCCAGCAGCCGCGGUAAUACGGAGGAUCCGAGCGUUAUCCGGAUUUAUUGGGUUUAAAGGGAGCGUAGAUGGGUUGUUAAGUUAGUUGUGAAAGUUAGCGGCUCAAACGUAAAAUUGCAAUUGAUACUGGCAGCCUUGAGUACAGUUGAGGUAGGCGGAAUUCGUGGUGUAGCGGUGAAAUGCGUAGAUAUCACGAAGAACUCCGAUUGCGAAGGCAGCUUACUAAACUGCCACUGACAUUGAUGCACGAAAGUGUGGGUAUCAAACAGGAUUAGAUACCCUGGUAGUC